GCUGGGAAAAGACAACACAAACAUACAUAUAUAAAUAAACAAAUCAUUUGAUAAACCAAGUAGAUGUGAUCGAACAGUAACCAUUAACCAAGUACCGUAAGGGAAUAAACUACAAGCACAAAACAGCAAAGACUAAACCUUGUACCUUUCGCAUCAUGGUUUAGCCAGUAACCAAAGACAAGAAGAAUCACAGUCCACACCCCGAAACCAAAUGAGCUACUUUAGAGCAGCCUACUGGGCACACCCUUCUCUGUGGCAAAAGAGUGGGAAGACUUAAAAGUAGAAGUGAAACGCUUAACGAAUUUGGAGAUAGCUGGUUACCAAAAAAAGAAUAUAAGUCCUUCCUCAUACAGAAUAAUACCACAUAAUCAAAUGAGGACAUCAAUAAGGGUACAGCUUUAUUGAAACAGGAUACAACCUGAAUUUGAGAGGAAAUACCGCACAAAUCAACCUGUAGGCCCUUAAGCAGCCACCAAACAAAAUAUCGUUAAAGAAUUUACUAACAAAUCCCAAUACCAAUAAAAAACUCCAAACCAACUAAUGGUAGACCCAUUUAAAUGGGUAUUAUUAUGCUAAAACUAAUAAUAAGACAACCCCUCUAACUACGCACCUGUCCACUAGACCGGAUAAUCCACUAGCCAUUAACAGACCAUAAAAGGAAAAGACAACGCAAUUCACAAACAAACACCCACUGUGACACCAACACAGGAGCGUUAAAAAGAAAGAUAUAAUACUAUAAAAGGAACUCGGCAACCAAAAGCCCCAACUGUUUAACAAAAACAUAACCUUUAGCCAAACAAAUAUUAAAGGCAACGCCUGCCCAGUGAACAAUUAAACGGCCGCGGUACACUAACCGUGCAAAGGUAGCAUAAUAAUUUGUCUACUAAUUAUAGACCUGCAUGAAAGGCAAAAUGAGGGCUUGACUGUCUCUUAUAGUUAAUCAAUUAAACUGAUCUCCUAGUAAAAAAGCUAGAAUUACCACAUAAGACCAGAAGACCCUGUGAAGCUUAAACUAAACUAUUAAACCAAAUAAUAACUACUUUAGGUUGGGGCGACCUUGGAAAAAGAAUAACUUCCAAAAGUCUAACGACACAAACAGGCCGACAAGCCAAUCAAACGACCCAGCAACGCUGAAAAUUGAACCAAGUUACUCCAGGGAUAACAGCGCAAUCUUCUUCAAGAGCCCAUAUCAAAAAGAAGGUUUACGACCUCGAUGUUGGAUCAGGACAUCCUAAUGGUGCAGAAGCUAUUAAGGGUUCGUUUGUUCAACGAUUAAUGUCCUACGUGAUCU
Molecule: ribosomal RNA, 1291 nt
Filed under: Ahaetulla prasina
Lineage: Eukaryota; Metazoa; Chordata; Lepidosauria; Squamata; Colubridae
Description: partial 16S ribosomal RNA
Rfam family: Bacterial large subunit ribosomal RNA
Source: RNAcentral